RNAcentral lists this ribosomal RNA (497 nucleotides) under uncultured bacterium. RNAcentral describes it as "partial 16S ribosomal RNA". It matches the Rfam family "Bacterial small subunit ribosomal RNA", at positions 28 to 507 of the family's 1533-position model. The record is from RNAcentral.
GAUGAACGCUGGCGGCGUGCCUAAUACAUGCAAGUCGAGCGAACGGACGAGAAGCUUGCUUCUCUGAUGUUAGCGGCGGACGGGUGAGUAACACGUGGAUAACCUACCUAUAAGACUGGGAUAACUUCGGGAAACCGGAGCUAAUACCGGAUAAUAUUUUGAACCGCAUGGUUCAAAAGUGAAAGACGGUCUUGCUGUCACUUAUAGAUGGAUCCGCGCUGCUUUAGCUAGUUGGUAAGGUAACGGCUUACCAAGGCAACGAUGCAUAGCCGACCUGAGAGGGUGAUCGGCCACACUGGAACUGAGACACGGUCCAGACUCCUACGGGAGGCAGCAGUAGGGAAUCGUCCGCAAUGGGCGAAAGCCUGACGGAGCAACGCCGCGUGAGUGAUGAAGGUCUUCGGAUCGUAAAACUCUGUUAUUAGGGAAGAACAUAUGUGUAAGUAACUGUGCACAUCUUGACGGUACCUAAUCAGAAAGCCACGGCUAACUACGUG